Molecule: transfer RNA, 59 nt
Filed under: Ureaplasma parvum
Lineage: Bacteria; Bacillati; Mycoplasmatota; Mycoplasmoidales; Mycoplasmoidaceae
Description: tRNA-Gly
Rfam family: tRNA
About the family: Transfer RNA (tRNA) molecules are approximately 80 nucleotides in length. Their secondary structure includes four short double-helical elements and three loops (D, anti-codon, and T loops). Further hydrogen bonds mediate the characteristic L-shaped molecular structure. tRNAs have two regions of fundamental functional importance: the anti-codon, which is responsible for specific mRNA codon recognition, and the 3' end, to which the tRNAs corresponding amino acid is attached (by aminoacyl-tRNA synthetases). tRNAs cope with the degeneracy of the genetic code in two manners: having more than one tRNA (with a specific anti-codon) for a particular amino acid; and 'wobble' base-pairing, i.e. permitting non-standard base-pairing at the 3rd anti-codon position.
Source: RNAcentral
GCAGAUGUAGUUCAAUGGUAGAACGCAACCUUGCCAAGGUCGAGACGCGAGUUCGAUUC